RNAcentral lists this ribosomal RNA (253 nucleotides) under uncultured microorganism. Its description in RNAcentral is "partial 16S ribosomal RNA". It matches the Rfam family "Bacterial small subunit ribosomal RNA", at positions 524 to 776 of the family's 1533-position model. The record is from RNAcentral.
UACGUAGGGUGCGAGCGUUAAUCGGAUUUACUGGGCGUAAAGCGUGCGCAGGCGGCCCGUUAAGACAGGUGUGAAAUCCCUGGGCUCAACCUAGGAAUUGCGCUUGUGACUGGCGGGCUCGAGUACGGUAGAGGGGGGUGGAAUUCCUGGUGUAGCAGUGAAAUGCGUAGAGAUCAGGAGGAACACCGAUGGCGAAGGCAGCCCCCUGGGCCUGUACUGACGCUCAUGCACGACAGCGUGGGGAGCAAACAGG